Paramuricea clavata is the source of this 641-nucleotide non-coding RNA. Lineage: Eukaryota; Metazoa; Cnidaria; Anthozoa; Malacalcyonacea; Plexauridae. The record is from the annotation of a GenBank genome assembly.
CACAAAUGUCUAGUGUAACGUUGGAUAGGUUCAUUGUCAUACGGUCCCGACAAGCAGCAACGUACAGUAGUCUUCCAGCCAAAAAUAAUUACUUUUGAUUCGGGUCAGUAAUUAUAAUAGAUAACAAGUGAAAGUUGGCCGCGGUAUUCCCAUGCUAUGCAUACGAAGUAUUGUGCAUUAUAUCAACAUAUACUCAGCUAAACAUGUAUGUCAAAAUUAUCACAUCUUCUGGUUUAUAAAAUUAUCACAUCUUCGGAUUUUGUGCAAGGACAGCUUCGGGUUGCUUUUCGCUUUGGCCGAUGUUUGAAAUUUUCCGGAAGAACACUUAUUUACCGGACGUUGUCGUCUCCUCCGCAGGCUCUUCGAUCUUCGACUACGCGCGCGGCUCGACACAAAUGGAAAACAAAAAAAACCCCAAAAAAACAAGAAGAAAAAAAAUAGGAGCCGAAUUUAAGACCUCGGUGUAGGUAGGUAGGUAAUACUUUAUUUAAAAUUAACAGAAAGAAGAACACGCUAGCCCCAUCAACUCUAGGCUGGUUUCCAUUGGGGGCGUGUUUAGAUCUUAAAAAUCAUUAAAAGGAAAAUUUAAACUAAAUAUUAGUACACACAUACUGUACACGUUACUAUAUACAAAUAAUUAG